This 1166-nucleotide ribosomal RNA is filed under the name Vibrio fluvialis. RNAcentral describes it as "partial 23S ribosomal RNA". It matches the Rfam family "Bacterial large subunit ribosomal RNA", at positions 1765 to 2925 of the family's 2925-position model. Lineage: Bacteria; Pseudomonadati; Pseudomonadota; Gammaproteobacteria; Vibrionales; Vibrionaceae. The record is from RNAcentral.
AGCUGAUGAGAGUCGCAGAUACCAGGUGGCUGCAACUGUUUAUUAAAAACACAGCACUGUGCAAAAUCGUAAGAUGACGUAUACGGUGUGACGCCUGCCCGGUGCCGGAAGGUUAAUUGAUGGGGUUAGCGUAAGCGAAGCUCUUGAUCGAAGCCCCGGUAAACGGCGGCCGUAACUAUAACGGUCCUAAGGUAGCGAAAUUCCUUGUCGGGUAAGUUCCGACCUGCACGAAUGGCGUAAUGAUGGCCACGCUGUCUCCACCCGAGACUCAGUGAAAUUGAAAUCGCUGUGAAGAUGCAGUGUACCCGCGGCUAGACGGAAAGACCCCGUGAACCUUUACUACAGCUUGGCACUGAACAUUGAACCUACAUGUGUAGGAUAGGUGGGAGGCUUUGAAGACGUGACGCUAGUUGCGUUGGAGCCGUCCUUGAAAUACCACCCUUGUAUGUUUGAUGUUCUAACUUAGCCCCGUUAUCCGGGGUGAGGACAGUGCCUGGUGGGUAGUUUGACUGGGGCGGUCUCCUCCCAAAGAGUAACGGAGGAGCACGAAGGUGGGCUAAUCACGGUUGGACAUCGUGAGGUUAGUGCAAUGGCAUAAGCCCGCUUAACUGCGAGAAUGACGGUUCGAGCAGGUGCGAAAGCAGGUCAUAGUGAUCCGGUGGUUCUGUAUGGAAGGGCCAUCGCUCAACGGAUAAAAGGUACUCCGGGGAUAACAGGCUGAUACCGCCCAAGAGUUCAUAUCGACGGCGGUGUUUGGCACCUCGAUGUCGGCUCAUCACAUCCUGGGGCUGAAGUCGGUCCCAAGGGUAUGGCUGUUCGCCAUUUAAAGUGGUACGCGAGCUGGGUUUAGAACGUCGUGAGACAGUUCGGUCCCUAUCUGCCGUGGGCGUUGGAAGAUUGAAGGGGGCUGCUCCUAGUACGAGAGGACCGGAGUGGACGAACCUCUGGUGUUCGGGUUGUGUCGCCAGACGCAUUGCCCGGUAGCUAAGUUCGGAAUCGAUAACCGCUGAAAGCAUCUAAGCGGGAAGCGAGCCCUGAGAUGAGUCUUCCCUGACAGUUUAACUGUCCUAAAGGGUUGUUCGAGACUAGAACGUUGAUAGGCAGGGUGUGUAAGCGUUGUGAGGCGUUGAGCUAACCUGUACUAAUUGCCCGUGAGGCUUAACCAU